Molecule: ribosomal RNA, 641 nt
Filed under: uncultured endosymbiont of Pyrsonympha vertens
Lineage: Bacteria
Description: bacterial SSU rRNA
Rfam family: Bacterial small subunit ribosomal RNA
Source: RNAcentral
GCAUCGCGAGUAGCAAUACUUGGCGGCGACCGGCAGACGGGUGCGCAACGCGUAUGCAACCUACCUUAUGCUGGAGCAUAAUUCGGUGAAAAUCGGACUAAUACUUCAUAAUAAUAUCGUUAUGGCAUCAGAGGAUAUUUAAAGAUUUAUCGGCAUUAGAUGGGCAUGCGUAUCAUUAGGUUGUUGGCGAGGUAACGGCUCACCAAGCCUUCGAUGAUUAGGGGUUCUGAGAGGAUUCACCCCCACACCGGCACUGAGACACGGGCCGGACUCCUACGGGAGGCAGCAGUGAGGAAUAUUGGACAAUGGGCGAGAGCCUGAUCCAGCCAUUCCGCGUGCAGGAUGACGGUCCUAUGGAUUGUAAACUGCUUUUUUACAAGAGCAAAAAGGGUUACGUGUAACCCAUUGAGAGUACUGUAAGAAUAAGCAUCGGCUAACUCCGUGCCAGCAGCCGCGUAAUACGGAGGAUGCAAGCGUUAUCCGGAUUUAUUGGGUUUAAAGGGUGCGUAGGCGGUUGAUUAAGUCAGCGGUGAAAUUUUGGGGCUCAACCCCAUUCGUGCCGUUGAUACUGCUUGACUUGAGAGUAAUUGAAGCCGGCGGAAUGUGCAGUGUAGCGGUGAAAUGUUUAGAUAUUGCACAGA